GACGAACGCUGGCGGCGUGGAUUAGGCAUGCAAGUCGAACGGUAUCAUCCUUUCGGGGGUGAGAGAGUGGCGAACUGGUGAGUAACACGUAGGUUAUCUACCCUCAAGACGGGGACAACCCAGGGAAACUUGGGCUAAUGCCGGAUGUGAGCAACUUUUAGUUGUUUGAAAGGUGGCGUAAGCUGUCGCUUGGGGAUGAGCCUGCGUCCUAUUAGUUAGUUGGUGAGGUAACGGCUCACCUAGGCAAUGAUAGGUAGGCGGCCUUAACGGGUGGUCGCCCACACUGGGAUUGAGAUACGGCCCAGACUCCUACGGGAGGCAGCAGUCGAGAAUAGUCUACAAUGGUCGGAAGACUGAUAGUGCGACGCCGCGUGAACGAUGAAUCCCUUCGGGGUGUAAAGUUCUUUUAUAUGUGAGCAGUGCUUCUUAUAUUAACAGUAUGGGGAGAGAGAUAUUAGCAUAUGAAUAAGCAACGGCUAACUCCGUGCCAGCAGCCGCGGU
This 501-nucleotide ribosomal RNA is filed under the name uncultured bacterium. RNAcentral's name for it is "bacterial SSU rRNA". It matches the Rfam family "Bacterial small subunit ribosomal RNA", at positions 28 to 521 of the family's 1533-position model. The record is from RNAcentral.